UACGUAGGGUGCAAGCGUUAAUCGGAAUUACUGGGCGUAAAGCGUGCGCAGGCGGUUUUGUAAGUCAGAUGUGAAAUCCCCGGGCUUAACCUGGGAACUGCGUUUGAAACUACAAGGCUAGAGUGUGGCAGAGGGGGGUGGAAUUCCACGUGUAGCAGUGAAAUGCGUAGAGAUGAUGGAGGAAUACCGAUGGCGAAGGCAGCCCCCUGGGAUAACGACUGACCGCUCAUGCACGAAAGCGUGGGGAGCAAA
RNAcentral lists this ribosomal RNA (252 nucleotides) under uncultured bacterium. RNAcentral describes it as "partial 16S ribosomal RNA". It matches the Rfam family "Bacterial small subunit ribosomal RNA", at positions 524 to 772 of the family's 1533-position model. The record is from RNAcentral.